Molecule: non-coding RNA, 87 nt
Filed under: Alkalihalobacillus pseudalcaliphilus
Lineage: Bacteria; Bacillati; Bacillota; Bacilli; Caryophanales; Bacillaceae
Description: Bacillus pseudalcaliphilus ZTP sequence
Rfam family: ZMP/ZTP riboswitch aptamer (pfl RNA motif)
About the family: Previously known as pfl RNA. ZMP is also known as AICAR.
Source: RNAcentral
GAUGGACACAGUAACUGACGACAAAGUGGAAAUAACCACAAGGGAGCUGCGUUCUCAUACUAUAGUCGGGUCGUCUGGGCAGGGGUA